Molecule: transfer RNA, 84 nt
Filed under: Lachnospiraceae bacterium
Lineage: Bacteria; Bacillati; Bacillota; Clostridia; Lachnospirales; Lachnospiraceae
Description: tRNA-Leu
Rfam family: tRNA
About the family: Transfer RNA (tRNA) molecules are approximately 80 nucleotides in length.
Source: RNAcentral
GCGGGUAUGGUGGAAUAGGCAGACACAAGAGACUUAAAAUCUCUCGGAAGAAAUUCCGUGCCGGUUCAAGUCCGGCUACCCGCA